Molecule: small nuclear RNA, 104 nt
Organism: Pteronotus mesoamericanus
Lineage: Eukaryota; Metazoa; Chordata; Mammalia; Chiroptera; Mormoopidae
Source: RefSeq, a predicted model, not a curated record
AUGCUCACUUCAGCAGCACAUACACUAAAAUUGGAACAAUACAGAUAUUAGCAUGGCCCCUGCGCAAGGAUGACAAGCAAAUUUGUGAAGUGUUACGUAUUUUU